This 548-nucleotide ribosomal RNA is filed under the name uncultured Glomus. RNAcentral describes it as "SSU rRNA". It matches the Rfam family "Eukaryotic small subunit ribosomal RNA", at positions 548 to 1098 of the family's 1831-position model. Lineage: Eukaryota; Fungi; Glomeromycota; Glomeromycetes; Glomerales; Glomeraceae. The record is from RNAcentral.
UUGGAGGGCAAGUCUGGUGCCAGCAGCCGCGGUAAUUCCAGCUCCAAUAGCGUAUAUUAAAGUUGUCGCAGUUAAAAAGCUCGUAGUUGAAUUUCGGGAUCAAUACGUCGGUCGUGCUUCGGUACGUACUGGCGUAAUUGAUUUCUCCCUUCUGACGAACCAUGAUGUCAUUAACUUGGUGUCAUGGGAAAUCAGGACUGUUACUUUGAAAAAAUUAGAGUGUUUAAAGCAGGCUCACGCUUGAAUACAUUAGCAUGGAAUAAUGAAAUAGGACGUUCGAUCCUAUUUUGUUGGUUUUUAGGAUCAACGUAAUGAUUAAUAGGGAUAGUUGGGGGCAUUAGUAUUCAAUUGUCAGAGGUGAAAUUCUUGGAUUUAUUGAAGACUAACUACUGCGAAAGCAUUUGCCAAGGAUGUUUUCAUUAAUCAAGAACGAAAGUUAGGGGAUCGAAGACGAUCAGAUACCGUCGUAGUCUUAACCAUAAACUAUGCUGACUAGGGAUCGGAUGAUGUUAAUUUUUUAAUGACUCAUUCGGCGCCUUACGGGAAAC